RNAcentral lists this ribosomal RNA (253 nucleotides) under uncultured bacterium. RNAcentral's name for it is "partial 16S ribosomal RNA". It matches the Rfam family "Bacterial small subunit ribosomal RNA", at positions 524 to 776 of the family's 1533-position model. The record is from RNAcentral.
UACGUAGGGUGCAAGCGUUAAUCGGAAUUACUGGGCGUAAAGCGUGCGCAGGCGGUUAUGUAAGACCGGUUUGAAAUCCCCGGGCUUAACCUGGGAACUGCAUUUGUGACUGCAUAGCUAGAGUACGGUAGAGGGGGAUGGAAUUCCGCGUGUAGCAGUGAAAUGCGUAGAUAUGCGGAGGAACACCGAUGGCGAAGGCAAUCCCCUGGACCUGUACUGACGCUCAUGCACGAAAGCGUGGGGAGCAAACAGG